CCCCUCCUCGUCGCUGCUGUCCCCGCAGUCGUUGGUGUGGUCGCAGCGGUAGCUGUAGCGCACGCAGCGCCCGUUGCGGCACGUGAAGUCGGUGGGCUCGCACGUGUGGAAAGCUGCGGGGGCGAAGGGGAGCACUGAUAAUUACAGCUUGCAGUAGCCGUACAGAAGGCAGGGAUGUUGCUACGUGCCUUUGCCAAGUAUGAGGUCUUGCAGUAUCCACAAGAGAGAGUGUGUGUCUGCUGAGAGGUUCCACGGAACGAAGCCAGCGACUCACAGGAUUCUCCACCCAGUAGAUGAACUGGUCGCGGUCAUCAAAGUCAACAUCGUAGCCAUUGCUGAUUC
Long non-coding RNA from Lethenteron reissneri (Far Eastern brook lamprey), 342 nucleotides. RefSeq lists it as uncharacterized. The record is from RefSeq and is a predicted model, not a curated record. NCBI's taxonomy places the organism in Eukaryota, Metazoa, Chordata, Hyperoartia, Petromyzontiformes, Petromyzontidae.